UUUCCGUAGGUGAACCUGCGGAAGGAUCAUUACAGAGUUCAUGCCCGAAAGGGUAGACCUCCCACCCUUGUGUAUUAUUACUUUGUUUCUUUGGCGUGGGCAAGCUCGCAAGAGAAUACCAAAACUCUUUUUAUUAAUGUCGUCUGAGUACUAUAUAAUAGUUAAAACUUUCAACAACGGAUCUCUUGGUUCUG
RNAcentral lists this unclassified non-coding RNA (194 nucleotides) under plant metagenome. RNAcentral describes it as "partial contains small subunit ribosomal RNA, internal transcribed spacer 1, and 5.8S ribosomal RNA". The record is from RNAcentral.